Molecule: non-coding RNA, 694 nt
Filed under: Pongo abelii (Sumatran orangutan)
Lineage: Eukaryota; Metazoa; Chordata; Mammalia; Primates; Hominidae
Source: RNAcentral
UAGGGUCUGAUUGCUGCCUGAGACACCAUAUCGGUACUCCUCAGAGUUGAGAAUAGACACCUUGAUGGCUCCUCUGGCAGUUCUUGAUGACCAUGGAUGAGCUAAUGGCUGUGGUCUCAAUGGUGGCUUCUUGAGGAGCAUGCAGAGAAAUUGUUUUAGCCUCUGAUAAAUAAAACAGCCUGCCAUGAGAAAAUUACAGCAAGGAAAUUACAGACAUCAUCUCCUUUGAAUAGGGAAAAGGUAACAGGUUCUCCACAGGCAACCCAUUUAUCAGAACCACGUGGACAUCUUUCAACUAUCCUGGACAACAACCAUGUUAUUUCUUAGCCAUUGGACUUCCACCUUAUCUUUAUUGAGUUCUGCUAAAAAGACAACAUCAGCACCAGGGGCUUCAAGAAUGUCUUGUGGAGGCCUGAUGAUCUCAACAGGAAUUUCUGGAAAGAAAAUGUUAAAUAAAUACAAAUAUGUUUACAUUUUGAUUAACAAUUUUUAAAAAUUGGUAACAUUAGAAUUGUUCUUUCACUUAAUAUGUACCUUCCACAAAAAGUCUAGCACGAGACUUCCUGUCUUCUACUCCGCAAGCAUAUUCACACUCAUCAUCCAGCCUGCAAUCUUUUAUAAUGAGUCUGUGUAUACUUCCAUCUUUUUCAAAUUUGUAUCUAAAGGAGACAUUGGAUUAUCAGUUAGCUUGCAU